CGGCACGGGUGAGUAACACGUAUCCAACCUGCCGUCUACUCUUGGCCAGCCUUCUGAAAGGAAGAUUAAUCCAGGAUGGCAUCAUGAGUUCACAUGUCCGCAUGAUUAAAGGUAUUUUCCGGUAGACGAUGGGGAUGCGUUCCAUUAGAUAGUAGGCGGGGUAACGGCCCACCUAGUCAACGAUGGAUAGGGGUUCUGAGAGGAAGGUCCCCCACAUUGGAACUGAGACACGGUCCA
RNAcentral lists this ribosomal RNA (237 nucleotides) under uncultured bacterium. RNAcentral's name for it is "partial 16S ribosomal RNA". It matches the Rfam family "Bacterial small subunit ribosomal RNA", at positions 100 to 333 of the family's 1533-position model. The record is from RNAcentral.